CCUACGGGAGGCAGCAGUAGGGAAUCUUCCACAAUGGGCGCAAGCCUGAUGGAGCAACGCCGCGUGAGUGAUGAAGGCCUUCGGGUUGUAAAACUCUGUCUUCUGUGAAGAAACAGCCUGUGAGUGGAAAGCUCAGGCUUUGACGGUAACAGAGGAGGAAGCCACGGCUAACUACGUGCCAGCAGCCGCGGUAAUACGUAGGUGGCAAGCGUUGUCCGGAAUCACUGGGCGUAAAGCGCGCGCAGGCGGCGAUCUACGUCUGGGGUGAAAGCCCGGAGCUCAACUCCGGGACUGCCUUGGAUACGGGAUCGCUUGAGGAUUGGAGAGGCAAGGGGAAUUCCACGUGUAGCGGUGAAAUGCGUGGAGAUGUGGAGGAACACCUGUGGCGAAGGCGCCUUGCUGGCCAAUUUCUGACGCUGAGGCGCGAAAGCGUGGGGAGCAAACAGGAUUAGAUACCCUGGUAGUCCACGCCGUAAACGAUGAGUGCUAGGUGUUGGGGGGUACCACCCUCAGUGCCGAAGCUAACGCAUUAAGCACUCCGCCUGGGGAGUACGGUCGCAAGACUGAAACUCAAAUGAAUUGACGG
This 586-nucleotide ribosomal RNA is filed under the name uncultured Bacillus sp. RNAcentral's name for it is "bacterial SSU rRNA". It matches the Rfam family "Bacterial small subunit ribosomal RNA", at positions 338 to 916 of the family's 1533-position model. Lineage: Bacteria; Bacillati; Bacillota; Bacilli; Caryophanales; Bacillaceae. The record is from RNAcentral.